ACUACGAAUCCUUGUCCGGAUUCCUCUAUUCACGCACGUCGGGUCGGGACGAGCCCUUGACCGCUAGCGA
RNAcentral lists this non-coding RNA (70 nucleotides) under unclassified sequences. RNAcentral describes it as "MDR-NUDIX RNA". It matches the Rfam family "MDR-NUDIX RNA". The record is from RNAcentral.